CCUUAACCUACCCUUCGACAUGUCCGGAAUCCCGAAGAGAUUUGGGUAGGUGCUCGCAAGAGAAUCGGAACACAGGUGCUGCAUGGCUGUCGUCAGCUCGUGUCGUGAGAUGUUGGGUUAAGUCCCGCAACGAGCGCAACCCUUAUCAUUAGUUGCUACGCAAGGGCACUCUAAUGAGACUGCCGGUGACAAACCGGAGGAAGGUGGGGAUGACGUCAAGUCCUCAUGGCCCUUAUGGGUAGGGCUUCACACGUCAUACAAUGGUCGGUACAGAGGGUUGCCAAGCCGCGAGGCGGAGCCAAUCCCACAAAGCCGAUCGUAGUCCGGAUUGUUCUCUGCAACUCGAGAGCAUGAAGUCGGAAUCGCUAGUAAUCGCAGGUCAGCAUACUGCGGUGAAUACGUUCCCGGGUCUU
Molecule: ribosomal RNA, 413 nt
Filed under: uncultured Thiobacillus sp.
Lineage: Bacteria; Pseudomonadati; Pseudomonadota; Betaproteobacteria; Nitrosomonadales; Thiobacillaceae
Description: bacterial SSU rRNA
Rfam family: Bacterial small subunit ribosomal RNA
Source: RNAcentral